Long non-coding RNA from Bradysia coprophila, 521 nucleotides. NCBI's taxonomy places the organism in Eukaryota, Metazoa, Arthropoda, Insecta, Diptera, Sciaridae. The record is from RefSeq and is a predicted model, not a curated record.
CAAGCCCAUUAUCAUUAUUUACCUCUACUACAUAGAAAAUUUUGAAAAAGCUAAACCAAACACUUUACGAACUGAAUUGAAUAUUUGAACGCAGUGUCUGUGUACAAUACAUAUACGAAAAUUGGAAAUUUAAUGGGUCCUGGAAGGUUCCGACUCAGCUGAACGUUUGCCAUUCAUCGAUGCGAUUUUCCUCGACGUUCUGUCGCAAGCAUUCAUAUUCAAAUGAAGGAGAAAGGAAUUCAAACAUAAAAAUGAACACAUCGAAUUUGUAUUUCCGCAGACACACACAACCAAAGAAUUUAAUCAUAUGGCAUGGCAGCCAUGGCAGUGCAUGUGUUACACAAUUUCCAACGUAAAAUUUAUGUUUGAUUCUACCCAUACAAGCAUCGUUUUUAUUACACAGGGGCGUCAUAAAGUAAAUGGAAUUAAAUAGCAAAAUCGAUAUAUAAGGUACCUAGCGAUGCUUAUGCGCUUAAAUUAAAUUUAAAGGUUUUUUUCUGAAUAAAAACACGUUUUAAUGA